GACGAACGCUGGCGGCGUGCUUAACACAUGCAAGUCGAACGCUCCUGUCCUCUGGGUUUCUGGGGGGCGGGUGAGUGGCGAAUGGGUGAGUAACACGUGAGUAACCUGCCCCCUUCUUCGGGAUAACGGUCUGAAAGGGCUGCUAAUACCGGGUAUUCACUGGUCUUCGCAUGGGGACUGGUGGAACGGUUUUUUUCUGGUGGGGGAUGGGCUCGCGGCCUAUCAGCUUGUUGGUGGGGUGAUGGACCAACAAGGCUUUGACGGGUAGCCGGCCUGAGACGGUCACCGGUCACAUUGGGACUGAAAUGCGGCCCAGACUCCUACGGGAGGCAGCAGUGGAGAAUAGUGCACGAUGGGCACAAGCCUGAUGCAGCGACGCCGCGAGAGAGAUGGUGGCCUUCGGGUUGUGAACCUCUUUCGCCCGUAGUCAAGCCGCGACGUGGGUCGUGGUGAGGGUAGUGGGUAAAGAAGCGCCGGCUAACUACGUG
RNAcentral lists this ribosomal RNA (488 nucleotides) under uncultured bacterium. RNAcentral describes it as "partial 16S ribosomal RNA". It matches the Rfam family "Bacterial small subunit ribosomal RNA", at positions 28 to 507 of the family's 1533-position model. The record is from RNAcentral.